RNAcentral lists this small nuclear RNA (40 nucleotides) under Cervus elaphus hippelaphus. The record is from RNAcentral. Lineage: Eukaryota; Metazoa; Chordata; Mammalia; Artiodactyla; Cervidae.
UGCUUGCUUUAACAGCACAUAUGCUAAAAUUGGGAUGAUA